RNAcentral lists this ribosomal RNA (585 nucleotides) under Debaryomyces hansenii. Its description in RNAcentral is "partial large subunit ribosomal RNA". It matches the Rfam family "Eukaryotic large subunit ribosomal RNA", at positions 53 to 653 of the family's 3401-position model. Lineage: Eukaryota; Fungi; Ascomycota; Pichiomycetes; Serinales; Debaryomycetaceae. The record is from RNAcentral.
GAGGAAAAGAAACCAACAGGGAUUGCCUUAGUAACGGCGAGUGAAGCGGCAAAAGCUCAAAUUUGAAAUCUGGCACCUUCGGUGUCCGAGUUGUAAUUUGAAGAAGGUAACUUUGGAGUUGGCUCUUGUCUAUGUUCCUUGGAACAGGACGUCACAGAGGGUGAGAAUCCCGUGCGAUGAGAUGCCCAAUUCUAUGUAAAGUGCUUUCGAAGAGUCGAGUUGUUUGGGAAUGCAGCUCUAAGUGGGUGGUAAAUUCCAUCUAAAGCUAAAUAUUGGCGAGAGACCGAUAGCGAACAAGUACAGUGAUGGAAAGAUGAAAAGAACUUUGAAAAGAGAGUGAAAAAGUACGUGAAAUUGUUGAAAGGGAAGGGCUUGAGAUCAGACUUGGUAUUUUGCGAUCCUUUCCUUCUUGGUUGGGUUCCUCGCAGCUUACUGGGCCAGCAUCGGUUUGGAUGGUAGGAUAAUGACUAAGGAAUGUGGCUCUACUUCGGUGGAGUGUUAUAGCCUUGGUUGAUACUGCCUGUCUAGACCGAGGACUGCGUCUUUUGACUAGGAUGUUGGCAUAAUGAUCUUAAGCCACCCGUC